RNAcentral lists this unclassified non-coding RNA (352 nucleotides) under Hevea brasiliensis (rubber tree). The record is from RNAcentral. Lineage: Eukaryota; Viridiplantae; Streptophyta; Magnoliopsida; Malpighiales; Euphorbiaceae.
UUAUUUGUUUAUUUAUUUUUUAAUUUAAAGCUUAUUUUUCUCAUAAGAAAUAAUUGAUGAUUAGUUAAUGAUAUUUAUGGGAACUUUUGUGGCUUAAUUGAAAUGGAUGUUUGCUCCGUUGGGUUAUGUUACAUGACUUGCAACGGUGGCGCGUGGCCAAGACGCGCCGCAGUUCUUGAUCCGUUAAGAUUGGAGGGAACAACGAGAGAGUGAUGUCGGUGGCUGCCAGCCAAUUAAUAAUAGUGAACUAAUCCAAUCGAGUUGGUUUAUGAACUUGGGUUGCGACUUGCAAUGUUGGUUCAAACUCUAAUUAUGAUCGAAAAUUGGCAGGUGACAAAGCGCGUGGACACGG